Molecule: signal recognition particle RNA, 273 nt
Filed under: Candidatus Aenigmatarchaeota archaeon
Lineage: Archaea; Nanobdellati; Candidatus Aenigmatarchaeota
Description: signal recognition particle sRNA
Rfam family: Archaeal signal recognition particle RNA
Source: RNAcentral
GCAGGAACUAGGCCGGGCUGCUGGGCGUAGCCUGUAACCGCAAACCGUCCUUAUGGCGGGGCCGAAGCCUGAGGGCGAUGCCUUGUUUGCAUUUCAGCCCAUGUCCCCUACAAUGAUAUCCUGUCCUGUUUGGCUGUAUGCGUAGUGAACCGGGUCAGGUCCUGGCGGAAGCAGCCCUAAGCUACGCAUGCGGUGCUUACAGGGUAGCAGGAUUGAGAAAGGGACAUGGUAAACUGAAAUGCAGGCAGGCAUCCACCGAUGGCACGUUCCUGC